This 72-nucleotide transfer RNA is filed under the name Capra hircus (goat). It matches the Rfam family "tRNA". From Rfam's summary of the family: Transfer RNA (tRNA) molecules are approximately 80 nucleotides in length. Their secondary structure includes four short double-helical elements and three loops (D, anti-codon, and T loops). Further hydrogen bonds mediate the characteristic L-shaped molecular structure. tRNAs have two regions of fundamental functional importance: the anti-codon, which is responsible for specific mRNA codon recognition, and the 3' end, to which the tRNAs corresponding amino acid is attached (by aminoacyl-tRNA synthetases). tRNAs cope with the degeneracy of the genetic code in two manners: having more than one tRNA (with a specific anti-codon) for a particular amino acid; and 'wobble' base-pairing, i.e. permitting non-standard base-pairing at the 3rd anti-codon position. RNAcentral also lists the same sequence under 1 other name. Lineage: Eukaryota; Metazoa; Chordata; Mammalia; Artiodactyla; Bovidae. The record is from Rfam by way of RNAcentral.
UCCCUGGUGGCUCAGUUGGUAAAGAAUCUGUCUGCAGUGCAGAAGACCUGGGUUAGAUCCCUGGGCUGGGAA